RNAcentral lists this ribosomal RNA (253 nucleotides) under uncultured bacterium. RNAcentral's name for it is "partial 16S ribosomal RNA". It matches the Rfam family "Bacterial small subunit ribosomal RNA", at positions 524 to 776 of the family's 1533-position model. The record is from RNAcentral.
UACGGAGGGUGCAAGCGUUAUCCGGAAUCACUGGGUUUAAAGGGUGCGUAGGUGGUUAUGUAAGUCAGUGGUGAAAUGUCGGGGCUCAACCGGGGCACUGCCAUUGAUACUGCAUAACUUGAAUCAGGUUGAGGUGGGCGGAAUGUGACAUGUAGCGGUGAAAUGCUUAGAUAUGUCAUAGAACACCGAUUGCGUAGGCAGCUCACUGGACCUGUAUUGACACUGAGGCACGAAAGCGUGGGGAGCGAACAGG